Molecule: ribosomal RNA, 439 nt
Filed under: uncultured bacterium
Lineage: Bacteria
Description: partial 16S ribosomal RNA
Rfam family: Bacterial small subunit ribosomal RNA
Source: RNAcentral
CUACGGGCGGCACCAGUGGGGAAUAUUGCACAAUGGAGGAAACUCUGAUGCAGCAACGCUGCGUGGAGGAUGACACUUUUCGGAGCGUAAACUCCUUUUAUAUAGGAAGAAGAUGACGGUACUAUAUGAAUAAGCGCCGGCUAACUCCGUGCCAGCAGCCGCGGUAAUACGGAGGGCGCAAGCGUUACUCGGAAUCACUGGGCGUAAAGAGCGUGUAGGCGGAUUAAAAAGUCAGAAGUGAAAUCCUAUAGCUUAACUAUAGAACUGCUUCUGAAACUCUUAAUCUAGAAUAUGGGAGAGGUAGAUGGAAUUUCUGGUGUAGGGGCAAAAUCCGUAGAGAUCAGAAGGAAUACCGAUUGCGAAGGCGAUCUACUAGAACAUUAUUGACGCUGAGACGCGAUAGCGUGGGGAGCAAACAGGAUUAGAUACCCCAGUAGUC